UAGGGAAUCUUCGGCAAUGGGGGGAACCCUGACCGAGCAACGCCGCGUGAGUGAAGAAGGUUUUCGGAUCGUAAAGCUCUGUUGUUAAGGAAGAACGAGUGUGAGAAUGGAAAGUUCAUGCUGUGACGGUACUUAACCAGAAAGGGACGGCUAACUACGUGCCAGCAGCCGCGGUAAUACGUAGGUCCCGAGCGUUGUCCGGAUUUAUUGGGCGUAAAGCGAGCGCAGGCGGUUAGAAAAGUCUGAAGUGAAAGGCAGUGGCUCAACCAUUGUAGGCUUUGGAAACUGUUUAACUUGAGUGCAGAAGGGGAGGGUGGAAUUCCAUGUGUGGCGGUGAAAUGCGUAGAUAUAUGGAGGAACACCGGUGGCGAAAGCGGCUCUCUGGUCUGUAACUGACGCUGAGGCUCGAAAGCGUGGGGAGCGAACAGG
This 429-nucleotide ribosomal RNA is filed under the name Bacteroidota bacterium. RNAcentral's name for it is "Bacteroidetes bacterium partial 16S ribosomal RNA". It matches the Rfam family "Bacterial small subunit ribosomal RNA", at positions 355 to 776 of the family's 1533-position model. RNAcentral also lists the same sequence under 1 other name. Lineage: Bacteria; Pseudomonadati; Bacteroidota. The record is from RNAcentral.